UACGUAGGGAGCGAGCGUUAUCCGGAUUUAUUGGGUGUAAAGCGUGUGUAGACGGUUUCUUAAGUCUAUAGUCUAAGCCUGGAGCUUAACUCCAGUUCGCUAUGGAAACUGAGAGACUUGAGUAUGGUAGAGGCAAGUGGAAUUUCUAGUGUAGCGGUGGAAUGCGUAGAUAUUAGAAGGAACACCAGUGGCGAAGGCGGCUUGCUGGGCCAUCACUGACGUUGAGACACGAAAGCGUGGGGAGCGAA
This 248-nucleotide ribosomal RNA is filed under the name uncultured Muribaculaceae bacterium. RNAcentral's name for it is "partial 16S ribosomal RNA". It matches the Rfam family "Bacterial small subunit ribosomal RNA", at positions 524 to 772 of the family's 1533-position model. Lineage: Bacteria; Pseudomonadati; Bacteroidota; Bacteroidia; Bacteroidales; Muribaculaceae. The record is from RNAcentral.